UUGGUUUAAAUCAUUCUGGAUCUACACUUUGAAAAUUGAACCUACAUAAAAUGGUGGGACAUACAAUGAUUUAAACUAA
RNAcentral lists this microRNA precursor (79 nucleotides) under Medicago truncatula (barrel medic). RNAcentral's name for it is "MIR5269 microRNA precursor family". It matches the Rfam family "MIR5269 microRNA precursor family". Lineage: Eukaryota; Viridiplantae; Streptophyta; Magnoliopsida; Fabales; Fabaceae. The record is from Rfam by way of RNAcentral.